CGUGUAAUUCUAUUGUAAUUUCUUAUAGAGAUGUAUGGCAAUGAAGACGGCUCGGUUCCAGCUACAUUUCAGAUCCUUUACAUGAUUGGCUGGAAACCUCACGAGUCUCAGGCGAAACCAGCAAAAAGGGGUUCGGCGAAUGUCUCGUUUGCCGAUCUGUCAAAAAUAAGCACUUCAGACCGACCACCAGAAAAACAAUGAAAAACCCUAGGACAGGAAGAAGUUCUAUCUUUCAAAUCAACUCUGGAUCUGCUUUACGUACAUGAACGUGAUUACACAGAAAUGUUGCAUCAACAAACUGUAUUUUUGCAAAAGCUUCUUUGACAAAUGUACUCCAACAUAAACAAUGAUUUUAAUAAGGUGCUAAACAAUCCAUGUUACUCUCUAAAACCGAGUUACCAAAUCAUGUUACUCACAAAUUAUUACAUUCAGUUCCAGAAAUAAAAAAGCAAAUGUAUAAAAAAUGUAUACAUCUUACUCCCAGUACUCUUUUAGAGAAAACAAGCAUUCUAGUGUUCAAGAAAAUCCUAACGGCUAAUAUAGCAAUAAAUCCCUUUCCUCCAAACAUCAUGAAAUGUUCAUGACAAGCUCCUCUGUACAGAUCAAGUGUACAAUGCAUUUACAUAUACAUAUGGCUUCAUAGUGCUGAAGAUUAAUCUUUAGAGUUCAACAGUUGUCAAUGGACAUGAUAUUACAGCGUAUUCUACUUAAACUGCAUCCAGGGUGUUGAGUAUGACAGUCAUUUUGAAUCAAAAGCAUUAGUUGUUUUGCUGGAAGACAUUAGCUCACACUUCAUGUGCUAUUUUGUGAGCUUUGACCUCUUAGUGGUUGUAUAAAACAAAAAAACAAAUCUGCUCAAUGUUAGCCUGAGUAUCAUGGAUAUUAGUACAGAUUUGCUGUAAUUCACUUAAUCUGGAGUACAUGUGGAUUGGAGCCAAUAACAGGCUGCCGUUCUCAUUACAUCAUCUAAAUCCAGACUAAAGUAGUGGAGAUUCAUUAUACUGUACGCAGCAACUAAAACAUGAUUUAAAGUGAAUCACAAACCGAGUAGCAGCUACAGGACGUCCUGUCUGUCCACAGAAACAGGCUUCAUGGUCCUCGAUGUAAACACAAGACGUUUGGAGCAGGUUAUGGUGACCAUCUGUUGUCAGUUUAAGUCCAUAUUUCUCAUUCUUUGAAGCAUUUAAAGCUCAAUUAAUGCCAACAAGGCACAAACAAAACUAUUUACAUCUACUUUGGAUCCUUUUUUUUCUCCAUUCAUUCUCUAUUUCAAGUCACUCUACCUUUCCUGCUCUUGAUUUCCAACUUUCCUGAGUGAGUUCAUGAGCGUCUUUAUGAACCCAGGUCAUAUUUCA
Sinocyclocheilus rhinocerous is the source of this 1355-nucleotide long non-coding RNA. RefSeq lists it as uncharacterized. Lineage: Eukaryota; Metazoa; Chordata; Actinopteri; Cypriniformes; Cyprinidae. The transcript has 2 exons. The record is from RefSeq and is a predicted model, not a curated record.